UUAAUUGAAGCUAAUAUUCAAGCAUUUUAUUGUUAAUAAAAUAAUAGAUAAUAUAAUUUAUCCAAUUAAA
This 70-nucleotide transfer RNA is filed under the name Megaris sp. Its description in RNAcentral is "tRNA-Asn". The record is from RNAcentral. Lineage: Eukaryota; Metazoa; Arthropoda; Insecta; Hemiptera; Megarididae.